RNAcentral lists this ribosomal RNA (253 nucleotides) under uncultured bacterium. Its description in RNAcentral is "partial 16S ribosomal RNA". It matches the Rfam family "Bacterial small subunit ribosomal RNA", at positions 524 to 776 of the family's 1533-position model. The record is from RNAcentral.
UACAGAGGAUGCAAGCGUUAUCCGGAAUGAUUGGGCGUAAAGCGUCUGUAGGUGGCUUUUUAAGUCCGCCGUCAAAUCCCAGGGCUCAACUCUGGACAGGCGGUGGAAACUACCAAGCUGGAGUACGGUAGGGGCAGAGGGAAUUUCCGGUGGAGCGGUGAAAUGCGUAGAUAUCUGGAGGAACACCGGUGGCGAAGGCGGCAUCCUGGACCGAGAUUGACGCUGAGGCGCGAAAGCCAGGGGAGCAAACGGG